Long non-coding RNA from Zea mays, 1231 nucleotides. RefSeq lists it as uncharacterized. The transcript has 4 exons. The record is from RefSeq and is a predicted model, not a curated record. Lineage: Eukaryota; Viridiplantae; Streptophyta; Magnoliopsida; Poales; Poaceae.
UCCUUAAUUGCUCGUUCCAUUAUUCGCGGUGCCAUUUUCUCCUCCGUCUUUCCAAACUGCAGUUUCUCAAUCCAAUCACCGCACGCGUGCACCGCCGUGCUCACCUGAAACUGCCUGUCACGCCGGCGCCCCCAACAACCCCGGCACCCGCGCUAGGGGUAGCCUUCGGCUACCCUGCCUCCUCGUUCGGCCCCGACGCUAGCCCCAGCAUCUCCUCCCGUGACGCCUCCCUCGAUCUCCUGUCCCGUUCCCCAGCCAUCUCCAAUCAUGGAUCCUGCGAUGGAGAUCCCCAUGUCACCGCCAACGCCGAGAUCCAUCGGCCAGACGCAGACCGUAGCCCCGACCUCCCUCCAUCGCCAAGCGUUGCGUUCAGCGUCGCCCCAUCUGUCCUCGCCCAUGGCUGGCAUGGGGGUUUGAUUCCCAGCGUACGACUCCAGCCCGACGUGGUACCUCGACCCUGCCUGAGAUGUGGUGAAGGAUCCAUUCACCUGUUUGUUUUAUUUUGACUGAGGUAUUGCCAGGAUGGAUUCAACGGGGUAGUUCUGAAUUCGUUUGAUCUCAAGCUAUUUCGUUCGCCUGUUUGUUUUAUUUCGUUCGAUCUCAAGCUAUUCGGACGGUGCUCGAUCUGAAUUCCCAAGUACAGGAGCGUCAAACGAUUCACUCCCACCGAAUUUGUUUUGUGUCCUCGUAGACCUGUGCAUAAAUUGUAGUACCCCAUUUCGACGGCAGUCACCAUUCUCCACACCUUGUCGUCUGCAUAAGCCGGACGAUUGUUGGGUGGUGGGAAUGGAACCGCGAGAAGCAUAGAAGACAUUUGAUCGUCGGCGCGUCUAUGCGAUAGUCCUGCCAUUGCAAACAUACUACAGAUGAUUAACUGACAAGGUGAUGAUGAACGAGCAGCGGCCAUGGAGGCAACAUAGGACAGGGCUCGGCGACAGCGACUUUCUCUUCUGGCAUGGUUCCGCUGAGAUGAAGUGGUUCAAUGGCUUGGUGUUCAUCUACAUUUAUUAUACCAUUUUUUGCAAGCUAUGUGGAGAGCCAAAUUGUACAGCAAAUGUGAAGAAAUAUAUGAUCGGUCCUUCAAAACCUAUGAGUAUUACAAUGAAGAGAAUUUGUGACUGCGAACAUAUCUUUUUAUGCUCUGUCAACGAAAGGAGUUUGCCUCUAGCUAGUGCUUUCCAACGGUGUAAAACCAUUGUAGGAUGAGUAUAAAUAUUUCCAGUUUUAAGUG